This 402-nucleotide ribosomal RNA is filed under the name uncultured bacterium. Its description in RNAcentral is "bacterial SSU rRNA". It matches the Rfam family "Bacterial small subunit ribosomal RNA", at positions 355 to 774 of the family's 1533-position model. The record is from RNAcentral.
UGGGGAAUAUUGGACAAUGGGGGAAACCCUGAUCCAGCAAUGCCGCGUGAGUGAAGAAGGCCUUAGGGUUGUAAAGCUCUUUCGCCCGCGAAGAUAAUGACGGUAGCGGGAGAAGAAGCCCCGGCUAACUCCGUGCCAGCAGCCGCGGUAAUACGGAGGGGGCUAGCGUUGUUCGGAAUUACUGGGCGUAAAGCGUACGUAGGCGGAUGCUCAAGUUGGGGGUGAAAUCCCGGGGCUUAACCUCGGAAUUGCCCUCAAAACUGCACGUCUUGAGACCGAGAGAGGUAAGGGGAAUUCCUAGUGUAGAGGUGAAAUUCGUAGAUAUUAGGAAGAACACCAGUGGCGAAGGCGCCUUACUGGCUCGGUACUGACGCUGAGGUACGAAAGCGUGGGGAGCAAACA